AUUGAACGCUGGCGGCAUGCCUUACACAUGCAAGUCGAACGGCAGCAUGGAGAGCUUGCUCUCUGAUGGCGAGUGGCGAACGGGUGAGUAAUGCAUCGGAACGUACCGUGUAAUGGGGGAUAACGUAGCGAAAGUUACGCUAAUACCGCAUACGACCUGAGGGUGAAAGCAGGGGAUCGCAAGACCUUGCGUUAUACGAGCGGCCGAUGUCAGAUUAGCUAGUUGGUGAGGUAAAGGCUCACCAAGGCGACGAUCUGUAGCGGGUCUGAGAGGAUGAUCCGCCAAACUGGGAAUGAGACACGGCCAAGACUCCUACGGGAGGCAGCAGUGGGGAAUUUUGGACAAUGGGGGCAACCCUGAUCCAGCCAUGCCGCGUGAGUGAAGAAGGCCUUCGGGUUGUAAAGCUCUUUCGGCCGGGAAGAAAUCGCACAGGCUAAUACUCUGUGUGGAUGACGGUACCGGCAUAAGAAGCACCGGCUAACUACGUGCCAGCCGCCGCAGUAA
This 504-nucleotide ribosomal RNA is filed under the name uncultured bacterium. RNAcentral's name for it is "partial 16S ribosomal RNA". It matches the Rfam family "Bacterial small subunit ribosomal RNA", at positions 30 to 523 of the family's 1533-position model. The record is from RNAcentral.